This 932-nucleotide ribosomal RNA is filed under the name Lactiplantibacillus plantarum. RNAcentral describes it as "bacterial SSU rRNA". It matches the Rfam family "Bacterial small subunit ribosomal RNA", at positions 50 to 946 of the family's 1533-position model. The record is from RNAcentral. Lineage: Bacteria; Bacillati; Bacillota; Bacilli; Lactobacillales; Lactobacillaceae.
UUUUUAUGCAAGUCGAACGAACUCUGGUAAUGAUUGGUGCUUGCAUCAUGAGUUACAUUUGAGUGAGUGGCGAACUGGUGAGUAACACGUGGGAAACCUGCCCAGAAGCGGGGGAUAACACCUGGAAACAGAUGCUAAUACCGCAUAACAACUUGGACCGCAUGGUCCGAGUUUGAAAGAUGGCUUCGGCUAUCACUUUUGGAUGGUCCCGCGGCGUAUUAGCUAGAUGGUGAGGUAACGGCUCACCAUGGCAAUGAUACGUAGCCGACCUGAGAGGGUAAUCGGCCACAUUGGGACUGAGACACGGCCCAAACUCCUACGGGAGGCAGCAGUAGGGAAUCUUCCACAAUGGACGAAAGUCUGAUGGAGCAACGCCGCGUGAGUGAAGAAGGGUUUCGGCUCGUAAAACUCUGUUGUUAAAGAAGAACAUAUCUGAGAGUAACUGUUCAGGUAUUGACGGUAUUUAACCAGAAAGCCACGGCUAACUACGUGCCAGCAGCCGCGGUAAUACGUAGGUGGCAAGCGUUGUCCGGAUUUAUUGGGCGUAAAGCGAGCGCAGGCGGUUUUUUAAGUCUGAUGUGAAAGCCUUCGGCUCAACCGAAGAAGUGCAUCGGAAACUGGGAAACUUGAGUGCAGAAGAGGACAGUGGAACUCCAUGUGUAGCGGUGAAAUGCGUAGAUAUAUGGAAGAACACCAGUGGCGAAGGCGGCUGUCUGGUCUGUAACUGACGCUGAGGCUCGAAAGUAUGGGUAGCAAACAGGAUUAGAUACCCUGGUAGUCCAUACCGUAAACGAUGAAUGCUAAGUGUUGGAGGGUUUCCGCCCUUCAGUGCUGCAGCUAACGCAUUAAGCAUUCCGCCUGGGGAGUACGGCCGCAAGGCUGAAACUCAAAGGAAUUGACGGGGGCCCGCACAAGCGGUGGAGCAUGUGGUU